This 675-nucleotide long non-coding RNA is filed under the name Homo sapiens (human). RNAcentral's name for it is "HSALNT0254198". The record is from RNAcentral. Lineage: Eukaryota; Metazoa; Chordata; Mammalia; Primates; Hominidae.
GCCCCACUACGCGGGGCCCAGAGCCAGGGUGGGGGAUGCAGAGACCGGGCGUGCGGGUUGCCAGGUGUGGCGCACAUGUGUGCCCGUGGGCAGAGUACAGAGACACAAGCUUGUGUGGACACGAAUGUGUAGCUAUGUGCGAGUGCACACGGCGUGGUGAGUGCAGGGACCCCAGGCCGGCCUGCGUCGGUGCGCAGGGCAUAUAGGGGCGUGCACGCAGUCUUGGAGGUGUGUGCACAGAGCCCCCGGCACCCGCGUGUGUGCAAAGACACAGGAACCCGUCUGCGUGGCGCUGUGUGUGCAACCCAAGGAGGUGGGCGCUUGGACUCCAAAGUGUGCGCUUAUCCGGAUGUGGAUGUGGGGGCAGCCGGGGACAGGGCUGGGUGUGCGUGACUCGGGUGUGCCGGGACCCACAGAGCAUAUGUGUCCAUGCCUGGUGCUGUGACUCAUGUCCCUGGGGUGGGCACGCGUGCUGUGUCAGCGGGAGCCGCGCCUCCCAGGGCAGCCCAGAGUUCCAGAAGCCCAGAAGAGGAAGGGUUAAACCUGCCUCUUCCCCCAGCUCCCAGCUGAGUCCAGGGCUGGGAUCUCAGGGGCUGCUACACAGGAAAGCCGGACUGAGCUGCUCCCCAGCCUCAGUUUCCCUCCUGUUCCUCGGAUGCGUUCGCAGGGUGGGUC